This 611-nucleotide ribosomal RNA is filed under the name uncultured rumen bacterium. RNAcentral describes it as "bacterial SSU rRNA". It matches the Rfam family "Bacterial small subunit ribosomal RNA", at positions 848 to 1482 of the family's 1533-position model. The record is from RNAcentral.
CAGUUAACGCAUAAGUGCUCCGCCUGGGGAGUACGGUGCAACACUAAACUCAAGGAAUUGACGGGACCCGCACAAGCAGCGGAGCAUGUGGUUAAUUCGAAGCAACGCGAAAAACCUACCAGGGCUUGACAUCCCUCUGACCGGAUCUUAACCGAUCCUUUCUUCGGACAGAGGUGACAGGUGGUGCAUGGUGUCGUCAGCUCGUGUCGUGAGAUGUUGGGUUAAGUCCCGCAACGAGCGCAACCCUUGUCGUCAGUUACUAACAUUAAGUUGAGGACUCUGACGAGACUGCCGAGGUCAACUCGGAGGAAGGUGGGGAUGACGUCAAAUCAUCAUGCCCCUUAUGUUCUGGGCUACACACGUGCUACAAUGGCCGGUACAAUGAGAAGCAAUACAGCGAUGUGGAGCAAAUCACCAAAACCGGUCCCAGUUCGGAUUGCAGGCUGCAACUCGCCUGCAUGAAGUCGGAGUUGCUAGUAAUCGCGAAUCAGCAUGUCGCGGUGAAUGCGUUCCCGGGUCUUGUACACACCGCCCGUCACACCAUGGAAGUUGGGGGCGCCCAAAGUUGGCUAAUAAAUCUGCUACCUAAGGCGAAACCAAUGACUGGGGUG